GGAAAAAAAAUUUGAUAGUCGGCCCGCCGCGUCUGUGGGAUGCCACCCAGCACCUGGCCUUGUGCAACUGUGAAAUCAUAGAAUCACAGAAUCAGUGAGGUUGGAAAAGAGCUCUGAGACCAUCGAGUCCAAUCUAUGACCGAACACCUCCCUGUCAACCAGACCAUGACACCAAGUGCCACAUCCAGCCUUUCCUUAACACCUCGGGGAGGGUGAGUCCACCACCAUCCUGGGCAGCCCAUUCCAGUGUCUCAUCACCCUUUCUGUGAAGGAAUUCCUCCUGACGUCCAACCUACAUCUAUGCUGGCACAAUUUAAGACCAUGUCCUCUUGUCCUGUCACCAUGGAAAAGAGGCCAACCCUCCCCCGGCUACAAGCUCCUUUCAGGGAGCUGUAGAGAGAAUAAGCAAUGUCUCUUUCAGUAUGUUUCUUGUCUCUGCUAACAAGCCUGACAAGAAAGCAUCACACAUCUUUGAAGAAAAGUGGAAAGAACAAAUCUCACUCUGGACAAGCCAGAAAGGAACUGGGACACCCCAGAACUCUGCACACAGCUUCCCAUGCAGAAGAAACCAAGGCCUGCAUCCACAGAGCAUGACCUCAGGUCCUGGCAUUUUCUCUGCAGCCUCCAGCAGAGUUUUUGUGUGAGAAAUUGUCUUACCUGUCCAUGUAGGUUAGGUAGCAUAUAUAUUUGUGGCUUGGAUGAGGCAGGAUGGGAUGACCAAUACUGUUGCAUGCUGUUCAUACAUGGGGACAGAAGUUGUUUUAUAUUUUCUUGUACAAAAGCUGCAUGUAGGGAAAGGACCAUCAUUUUGUGCUGUGCCUUUAUAGCAUCUGACCUACAGGAUCCUGGCCCAUGACCAAAGCCUGUAGGCACCAAACUAGUAAUAUGUAAUAAUAAUAUAUGGCACUGGCAUAAGCUCAACAUAGUUAAUGGACACCCAAGCUUAGUGUCCAGGCAAAUAAGCCUGGGGGGUUUCAGUUUGAGUUAGACACAAUACCCCACUCUCCCUCCAUACCAGGAAUGAGCUCUUAGGGAGAAAAACACUUAAAAAUACCAACUUUUAUGGAGACUUUGUUCAUUCCACAAAGAAAUCCAGAGAGUACUUGAUAAAAGUACUCACUUCAGUCUCAUAGAUUUAUCAAGAGAAUUGCUGAAAAGGGAAAGCCCUACAGGGAAAGAAUUCACUUUCCAAAAGUCAUUUGCAUCCAGCAACUACUAGAAAUUUGAUUGAGAGCUACUGAAUGUUAUUAGUUUUGAAAAUCCAGUUACUGCGUAUCCAAAACAUGAAUGCUUAGUUGUGAUCUUCUGGUGACACUUGGUCUUUAAAAAUUAUGGCCAAAGAAUAUGUGUGUGUGUGUCUAUAUAGAAGUACAUAUUUUUAAAUGCAUUUUGAGUUACCCAGAGAUAAACAGAAUAAAAAAUUGCUGAUACAUAGAUAUUACUGUAAUGUAAAUAUAUUCACCAUUUAAUCCUGAUAAAUACUGGAUUAUAGACUUCUGAA
Molecule: long non-coding RNA, 1501 nt
Organism: Vidua macroura (Pin-tailed whydah)
Lineage: Eukaryota; Metazoa; Chordata; Aves; Passeriformes; Viduidae
Exons: 3
Source: RefSeq, a predicted model, not a curated record